CCAGCUAUAGCUCAGUUGGUAGAGCGUGGGACUGUAGAGUAAUGAAGUAAUCCUGAUGUCGCUGGUUCGAAUCCGGCUAGCUGGA
This is a non-coding RNA of Meloidogyne hapla, 85 nucleotides long. NCBI's taxonomy places the organism in Eukaryota, Metazoa, Nematoda, Chromadorea, Rhabditida, Meloidogynidae. The record is from Rfam.